This 367-nucleotide ribosomal RNA is filed under the name Staphylococcus hominis. Its description in RNAcentral is "bacterial SSU rRNA". It matches the Rfam family "Bacterial small subunit ribosomal RNA", at positions 1041 to 1409 of the family's 1533-position model. The record is from RNAcentral. Lineage: Bacteria; Bacillati; Bacillota; Bacilli; Caryophanales; Staphylococcaceae.
GACCAUGGUGUUCGUCAGUUCGUUUCGUGAGAUGUUGGGUUAAGUCCCGCACCGAGCGCACCCCUUAAGUUUAGUUGCCUCCAUUAAGUUGGCCACUUUAAGUGGACUGCCGGGGCCAACCCGGAGGAAGGUGGGGAUGACGUCAAAUCUUCUUGCCCCUUAUGAUUUGGGUUCCCCACGUGUUCCAAUGGCCAAUCCAAAGGGAAGGGAAACCGGGAGGUCAAGCAAUUCCCAUAAAGUUGUUUUCAGUUCGGAUUGUAUUUUGCAAUUGGAUUCCAGGAAGCGGGAAUCGUUGGUAAUCGUAGUUCACCAUGUUACGGGGAAUACGUUCCCGGUUUUUUUACACUCGGUUUUUAAGGUUGCUACA